This 265-nucleotide ribosomal RNA is filed under the name uncultured bacterium. RNAcentral describes it as "partial 16S ribosomal RNA". The record is from RNAcentral.
CUGCUGCCUCCCGUAGGAGUUUGGACCGUGUCUCAGUUCCAAUGUGGGGGACCUUCCUCUCAGAACCCCUAUCCAUCGAUGCCUUGGUGGGCCGUUACCCCGCCAACAAGCUAAUGGAACGCAUCCCCAUCGAUGACCGAAAUUCUUUAAUAGUUCUACCAUGCGGAAGAACUAUGCCAUCGGGUAUUAAUCUUUCUUUCGAAAGGCUAUCCCCGAGUCAUCGGCAGGUUGGAUACGUGUUACUCACCCGUGCGCCGGUCGCCAU